Molecule: long non-coding RNA, 2070 nt
Filed under: Mus musculus (house mouse)
Lineage: Eukaryota; Metazoa; Chordata; Mammalia; Rodentia; Muridae
Description: long non-coding RNA chr19:56436848-56438918
Source: RNAcentral
GUACCCUGUCCACUGUCUGCUGACCUUACCAAUCCAUGCUCCUCCAUCCACAUGCAGGUGUGAGGGCUGUAUUGGUCUCUUGUUGCUACAGUCAUUAAUUAAUAGUUUUUAGCAUCCCUAACAUAAACCGUCUCGAGAUUUGGAACUGAGUGUCAGUAUCCCACGCAGAAGUUUGGAUUCUGGAGUAGUUCAGAUAUCAUGUUUCCUUGCCCCGCCAAGGGGACCUGGCUCAGUGGGCAAGCUACUUGCAGUACAAGCAAUGAGGACCCAAGACCGAAUCCCCAGCAUCUAUGUAAGAGCCAAACAUAGCUCUGUGUGCCUGUAACCCUAGCACUGGGUGUUUAGAUAAAGGAGAAUCCUGGAGGCCCACUGGCCUGCCACCCUAGCUGGGUUGGCAAGCUCCAAAUUCCGACAGACUGUGUCUCAAAAAUUAAAGUGAAGAUCAAUUCAGGAAGACACCCGACAUGGACACAGGUCCCUGCACCCAGUUGUGCACAAGCACAUACACACGCAUGCACGCACAUGCAACACACGGAAUGAAAGAAAACCACUGUCCAAGCAGUAAAGCCUAUGUACUCGAUCUGAGGUACUUGUACUCAUGAGCAAGCGUUGGGGACAACAGAUACCCAGUGCAUCCUACAGACAGAGUGACACAUGUCACAUAAACAUCAUCUUGGUGGCCUAGAGGCCAGAAUCCCAGAGGAAAGAGCAGGGUGGCCUCUCUGCUGGAAGCACAUAGGGAAAUUGGUUUCCUCUUUUUCCUAGCAAUCUUAGACCUCCUAGAUCCCUUGGCUUACGGCCCUUCCUCAUUUAAAAACCCCUCCUCGAUCUCUCGGUCUCUUCCCUGUCAACCUUGCAAACACAGUUCUCUCUCAGCCUGCUUCCCUUCCUCGGGCUUGGUCUGCCUGGUACUCCAUAGCCAUUUCCCAUUUCCCCAUCGGGAGUCUUAUCAUUUUACUGGCAUCUGAAAAGUCCUUUUUGUCGUAGAGGGUAACCUGGUCACAGAUUCCAGAGUUAGGUGUGUCCAUCUUCGGGGACCACCACUCUUAACUCAUUCCUCUCCCUGAGAAAACGGAAUGCACCCCCCCCCAGCCUUUGUUGUACUAAGAUUAAUAAUAAUGGCAAGACUUUCACAAUAAGCAAUAAUUAUGCAUGUAACUAUAAAAAUUAUGUCAUUUUAGGUCAUUUUAAAUCUUCGUGCCAUCAUCCUUAUAAUAAUUCUGUAGGUGAUGGAGAAAACCAUUGUUGCUUUUGCAGUUGAAAAAUUAAUUGAUUAAUUGAUUGAUUAAUUAAUUAAUUAGGUAAGCUUUAGAAAUGUGUUAAGGGUCAGGUUUCAGUGCUCAGACUCUGCAUUGCAUCACAAACCAGGAUCCUUUAGGCUGGGACCAUGGCAGGUACCAUGCAAUGCCAGGAACGAGUGUGGUUUCUUAUUAUUUACCAAGCCCUGGGUUUGCCCUGGGUUUGUCUGUUCGGUACAAGCCUUCCCUUUGUGAGACAUAGACCCCUUGUUGAGUGAGAAUUCCCCCAGCUGUAGGACUUUCGCAAAGGCUUGGUGCAGGCAGAGGUAUUAGUUUCAGUAAAUGAGUCAGUACAUCUGGGGAAAACAGAACAAAACCAGCUCUGGCAGGCUCUACAGAUGGGUUCUGUGAGUAUGCUAAAGUCACACUUUUAAGCACUGUAAAGGGUAGAAAGUACAUUGGUCUUCUGCUCUUGGGAGCUUGGCAGUGCAAAAAUUGGCAGACAUCAGUGUGAGUAAACCCAGUAUGGAGCUGUCGCUGCUCAGAGAAGGUCUGCAGGAACUCAGGGAGGAAGGCAAACUCCUCUGCAGGGGCCAAUAAGAAAGCUUUCUUUAAAAGUUACUGCCAUGACUGCUGAAUUCAGCCAUCAGCCUGGACUAGGUCUAAUGCCCAGUACAUUUGCUGGGCCAGACGGAGUGGAUCACAGAUGCGGCAGUUGUCUUGAGUCAACAGACAUCGUUUCUGGGCCAACUGGUCUCAGAAGAGGACUCUCUUCCUGCUUCAUAAAUGGCUGCCUUCUUCCUCUGUCCUCACAUGGCAGAGAAAACACAGG